UACGUAGGUCCCGAGCGUUGUCCGGAUUUAUUGGGCGUAAAGCGAGCGCAGGUGGUUUAUUAAGUCUGGUGUAAAAGGCAGUGGCUCAACCAUUGUAUGCAUUGGAAACUGGUAGACUUGAGUGCAGGAGAGGAGAGUGGAAUUCCAUGUGUAGUGGUGAAAUGCGUAGAUAUAUGGAGGAACACCGGUGGCGAAAGCGGCUCUCUGGCCUGUAACUGACACUGAGGCUCGAAAGCGUGAGGAGCAAACAGG
Molecule: ribosomal RNA, 252 nt
Filed under: uncultured bacterium
Lineage: Bacteria
Description: partial 16S ribosomal RNA
Rfam family: Bacterial small subunit ribosomal RNA
Source: RNAcentral